Mesoplodon densirostris (Blainville's beaked whale) is the source of this 1387-nucleotide long non-coding RNA. RefSeq lists it as uncharacterized. The transcript has 3 exons. The record is from RefSeq and is a predicted model, not a curated record. NCBI's taxonomy places the organism in Eukaryota, Metazoa, Chordata, Mammalia, Artiodactyla, Ziphiidae.
UUUUUUCUAGAGGGUAGACAGAAUUGAAGCCAGCAAGAAACCAGAACCUGUGCCAUCAACGUCAGGCGUGACUGAAAUUGCAGCUUGCCCUCCGUCUCUUAUUGUUGACGAUCCUUCAGCUCUACCAUCUCCCACCUCCUCUCCCUCCUCCAGUCAGUAACUCUUCUUGCCUGUUCAUUCGGUGCCAGCCCCUGUAUGCCAGCUGUUGUACUGUACUACUGUACUUUUCAAGCUGGUCUGUCUCCUGAGGCCCGGGCGGCCAGGUCGCAGAGAAGAGCGAGGAAGGAGAAGAAGGCCGUGAGCGACUAGAGAAGACUCUCCAGAAUGUUAAAUCUAGCAGGAACCUGGGAGAUUCACUGAGGAGUUGAAGAGAUGGAGAAACUGAGGCAAAAAUGGGUUAUCACUUGCCCAAGACCAAAAAGGGGAAAUGACUGGAGCGCCCCUCUCUUAAAGUUCGCUCAUAUGUCCCCUCAGGAGGAAGUGAAGGCCAGGUAAGUGGUGUGUGUGUGGGGGGGAGCCGGGGUCAUAAACCAGGACAGGGAGCAGCCAGGAGUAUGUGAGAGCCUGCGUGUAUGAGCUGGGUGACCCCGUCUGUAUCUAGUUCCACAUGUGGAACCUCUGGUUCUCAGUCCAGGAUAAGGGCACAGGUGGUGGUGGGUAACAGAAGAUGGGGAGAGAGCCCCCCUUCAGCAUACCCUCACCCCACCCCAGGGACCAUCCUCACCGCCUGGAGUCGGUCCGUCAGCUCCCUUCUCCGGUUCCUACACUUUGCCGCUGCCAGUUUGUUUCGUUCUCGGCGAACUCUUCUCUUCUCCUCCUCCUCUGGAGUGAGCUGAGUAGGGGAGAUAGAGAUAGUGAGAUGUGGGGGACACGUGUUCCUCCCCAUCCACCCCAAACCUCCUCUUCUUCAAGAACCCCCAGUAGUCAGAAAAGAACCUUCUAGACCUCACGGACUGUGGGGAGGAUGAUAGGGUUUCUGCAGCAUUGAGGCUGCAGAUGGUCCCUCACCCCAACAGUGGCAAAGUUAAUGCCUCUCUUCCUUCCUCCCCCGCCCCCGCACCCGCACCCGCACCCAGAGCAAGCUCUGAUGCCCUCUACUCACCGUCUCCUCUCGGGGUCUCCUAGGCCGGGCUCGGGCUGGGCGGGGCCCAGGUCCAGUCCCAGGUCCACUGGUGGUUCCGCUGGUAGAAGGCCCACCACUGCCACUAGCUCCGCCACUGCUGUAGCCACUUAUGCCCGGCGUGGAGUAACUGGUUCCUGGCAUGUCAUAGGGGUCAACGGCUGUGGGCUGGGAGGCCAGUGGCUGCCCCUGGGACUGGGCCAUGGAAGAGAUGAGGGUAGGUUGCACGAGCCACUGGAGGUCCUGGCUGGUUGUGAUCGCGGUGAC